RNAcentral lists this transfer RNA (72 nucleotides) under Staphylococcus aureus. RNAcentral describes it as "tRNA-Glu". It matches the Rfam family "tRNA". From Rfam's summary of the family: Transfer RNA (tRNA) molecules are approximately 80 nucleotides in length. Their secondary structure includes four short double-helical elements and three loops (D, anti-codon, and T loops). Further hydrogen bonds mediate the characteristic L-shaped molecular structure. tRNAs have two regions of fundamental functional importance: the anti-codon, which is responsible for specific mRNA codon recognition, and the 3' end, to which the tRNAs corresponding amino acid is attached (by aminoacyl-tRNA synthetases). tRNAs cope with the degeneracy of the genetic code in two manners: having more than one tRNA (with a specific anti-codon) for a particular amino acid; and 'wobble' base-pairing, i.e. permitting non-standard base-pairing at the 3rd anti-codon position. Lineage: Bacteria; Bacillati; Bacillota; Bacilli; Caryophanales; Staphylococcaceae. The record is from RNAcentral.
GGCNCNUUGGUCAAGCGGUUAAGACACCGCCCUUUCACGGCGGUAACACGGGUUCGAGUCCCGUACGGGUCA